UACGAAGGGGGCUAGCGUUGCUCGGAAUGACUGGGCGUAAAGCGCGCGUAGGCGGCCCUGUAAGUCCGUUGUGAAAGUCAAAGGCUCAACCUUUGAAAGCCGAUGGAUACUGCAGGGCUGGAGUCCGGAAGAGGCGGGUGGAAUUCCGGGUGUAGCGGUGGAAUGCGUAGAGAUCCGGAAGAACACCAGUGGCGAAGGCGGCCCGCUGGGCAGUGGCUGACGCUGAGGCGCGACAGCGUGGGGAGCAAACGAG
This 253-nucleotide ribosomal RNA is filed under the name uncultured bacterium. Its description in RNAcentral is "partial 16S ribosomal RNA". It matches the Rfam family "Bacterial small subunit ribosomal RNA", at positions 524 to 776 of the family's 1533-position model. The record is from RNAcentral.